GGGGACGUAGCCCAACAGGAAGAGGCACUGGUCCCAGACACCAGCCAGUGUAGGUUCAACUCCUACCGUCCCUACCA
RNAcentral lists this transfer RNA (77 nucleotides) under Armatimonadota bacterium. Its description in RNAcentral is "Armatimonadetes bacterium (groundwater metagenome) tRNA-Leu". It matches the Rfam family "tRNA". Rfam says of the family: Transfer RNA (tRNA) molecules are approximately 80 nucleotides in length. Lineage: Bacteria; Bacillati; Armatimonadota. The record is from RNAcentral.